Molecule: ribosomal RNA, 448 nt
Filed under: uncultured bacterium
Lineage: Bacteria
Description: bacterial SSU rRNA
Rfam family: Bacterial small subunit ribosomal RNA
Source: RNAcentral
GCCAGACUCCUACGGGAGGCAGCAGUGGGGAAUAUUGCACAAUGGGGGGAACCCUGAUGCAGCGACGCCGCGUGAGUGAAGAAGUAUUUCGGUAUGUAAAGCUCUAUCAGCAGGGAAGAAAAUGACGGUACCUGACUAAGAAGCCCCGGCUAACUACGUGCCAGCAGCCGCGGUAAUACGUAGGGGGCAAGCGUUAUCCGGAUUCACUGGGUGUAAAGGGAGCGUAGACGGCCAUGCAAGCCUGGAGUGAAAGCCCGGGGCCCAACCCCGGGACUGCUCUGGGAACUGUGCGGCUGGAGUGCGGGAGGGGCAGGCGGAAUUCCUGGUGUAGCGGUGAAAUGCGUAGGUAUCAGGAGGAACACCGGCGGCGAAGGCGGCCUGCUGGACCGCGACUGACGUUGAGGCUCGAAAGCGUGGGGAGCAAACAGGAUUAGAUACCCCCGUAUUG